AUACGGGGGGUGCAAGCGUUGUUCGGAAUUACUGGGCGUAAAGCGCGUGUAGGCGGCUUGGUAAGUCGGUUGUGAAAGCCCGGGGCUCAACCCCGGAACGGCAUCCGAAACUGCCCGGCUAGAGUCCCGGAGAGGAAGGCAGAAUUCCCAGUGUAGGGGUGAAAUCCGUAGAUAUUGGGAGGAAUACCAGUGGCGAAGGCGGCCCUCUGGACGAUGACUGACGCUCAGGUGCGAAAGCGUGGGGAGCAAACAGGAUUAGAUACCCCGGUAGUCC
RNAcentral lists this ribosomal RNA (274 nucleotides) under uncultured bacterium. RNAcentral describes it as "partial 16S ribosomal RNA". It matches the Rfam family "Bacterial small subunit ribosomal RNA", at positions 523 to 796 of the family's 1533-position model. The record is from RNAcentral.